This 468-nucleotide ribosomal RNA is filed under the name uncultured bacterium. Its description in RNAcentral is "partial 16S ribosomal RNA". It matches the Rfam family "Bacterial small subunit ribosomal RNA", at positions 28 to 507 of the family's 1533-position model. The record is from RNAcentral.
GACGAACGCUGGCGGCGUGCUUAACACAUGCAAGUCGAACGGAAAGGCCCUGCUUUUGUGGGGUGCUCGAGUGGCGCACGGGUGAGUAACACGUGUGUAACCUGCCCUUGACUUUGGUAUAACUUCAGGAAACUGGGGCUAAUCCCGGAUAGGCGCUCCUGCUGCAUGGUGGGGGUUGGAAAGUUUCGGCGGUUGGGGAUGGACUCGCGGCGUAUCAGCUUGUUGGUGGGGUAGUGGCUUACCAAGGCCUUGACGGGUAGCCGGCCUGAGAGGGUGACCGGCCACAUUGGGACUGAGAUACGGCCCAGACUCCUACGGGAGGCAGCAGUGGGGAAUAUUGCACAAUGGGCGGAAGCCUGAUGCAGCAACGCCGCGUGCGGGAUGACGGCCUUCGGGUUGUAAACCGCUUUCGCCUGUGACGAAGCGUGAGUGACGGUAAUGGGUAAAGAAGCACCGGCUAACUACGUG